RNAcentral lists this ribosomal RNA (581 nucleotides) under Listeria monocytogenes. Its description in RNAcentral is "partial 23S ribosomal RNA". It matches the Rfam family "Bacterial large subunit ribosomal RNA", at positions 283 to 859 of the family's 2925-position model. The record is from RNAcentral. Lineage: Bacteria; Bacillati; Bacillota; Bacilli; Caryophanales; Listeriaceae.
GCUUGCUUCUUGGGGUUGUAGGACACUCUAUACGGAGUUACAAAAGAAAGUUAUAAAUGAAGCGGUCUGGAAAGGCCCGCCAAAGACGGUAACAGCCCGGUAGUUGAAAUGGCUUUCCCUCCAGAGUGGAUCCUGAGUACGGCGGAACACGUGAAAUUCCGUCGGAAUCCGGGAGGACCAUCUCCCAAGGCUAAAUACUCCCUAGUGACCGAUAGUGAACCAGUACCGUGAGGGAAAGGUGAAAAGCACCCCGGAAGGGGAGUGAAACAGUUCCUGAAACCGUGUGCCUACAAGUAGUUAGAGCCCGUUAAUGGGUGAUAGCGUGCCUUUUGUAGAAUGAACCGGCGAGUUACGAUUUGUUGCAAGGUUAAGCGGAAAAAGCGGAGCCGUAGCGAAAGCGAGUCUGAAUAGGGCGCAUAAGUAACAGGUCGUAGACCCGAAACCAGGUGAUCUACCCAUGUCCAGGAUGAAGGUAAGGUAAUACUUACUGGAGGUCCGAACCCACGCACGUUGAAAAGUGCGGGGAUGAGGUGUGGGUAGCGGAGAAAUUCCAAUCGAACUUGGAGAUAGCUGGUUCUCUC